GGGUUUUAGCUGGGUCUUUGUCUAAGCAGGCCUGGAGCCCCAGCUGCCUCUGCCCCUGAACUGAAUGCCUUUGUGUAAAUGGUCACCCUGACUCUGAUAUUGCAUCAGCCCCUAUUUGUACCCCAACCUAUUUCUACAUCAGUAGAGUGUACAUAUAAAAACAGGCUUUGUAAUCUGGUUGAGAAAAUGCAUGGAUAUUUAGAGGUUUCCCCCUCACUGUCACCUUUGGAUGAUUAAACCUAGUGGAAAGAAACUUUAUGUGAUCAAGAAUGCAAAAUGACCGAUCCACACAAGAACUGUGACUUUUUUUCACUGCUGCAAUUCCCUGUUGCCAAGAUGUCCCUGGUAAGCUGAAGAGUGGUGCCAGACCAAACAGAUUGCAAACCAUGGUAGGUAGUAAGGCUUGUGAAAUCCGUGGAUUGAAAACCAUGGAGGAGCGUUGGCAAUUAUCCUGCUGUCAUGACUGAAAUGUCCAUUUCCCUCAGAUUCUGAGACUUUCUCCUUUGGAUCAUGGUAGAUAAGGUGCAAAAAAAUUAUUUCAAUAUACCUCCCUGUUAAUUUCACUGGUUAAAUUGAAUGCUGUUUCUAGUCAAUUUUAUAUCCCACAUAGCCCCUAUUCAUAGUUUAUCACAUCCUAAAUUUAGAAUAGGUAAAGAAAUACUCAGCCCUAAAAUUACGUGGUACAUGUAGACCAGGAGUUUUAAAGUAUCAUUCCAAAAAAGUUUUUUUUAAAGUAGUUAUUUCUAAUGUCAUGCACACAUUUAUGUAGAAACUGGUAGCCUAUAUUACAAAGUUUCAUUUAAUAAACUGUCAAAUGUGUUUGAGUAGAAAGGCCACCAGUGCCACCAGGGAAAGAAGCUCCACAGAGUUGACACUGACAAAAUCUAAAAUGUGUUAACCUUGGAGUCUUUCAGUAUAAUCCAGUGACAAUGUGACUUGGGUUGACAGACUUACUGAGCCAUGUUCAGAAUUUCAAUCAAUGUGUAUAUUUUGAGUAUGUAAGCCUACAUUCACAUCCUAUAUCCCAAGUGUUGAGUCCUGAUAUCAAAUAAUUAAAGGAUUUGCGUUAAAAGUCACAUGGUGGCUGAUGACUGCUGGGCAGUUGCGGGUACGGAAGACUGAUUCCUCUGGGCUGUGGAAGAGCUCUGGCAAGUAUCCCACUUUCAUGACUAAAAUGCCCAUUUCCCUUAGAUUCUGAAUCUUUCUCCUUUGGAUCCUGGUGGAUAGGGAGCAAGAAAUUACUUCAAUAUACCUCCAUGUUAAUUUCACUAAUUAAAUUGAAUGCUGUUUCUAGUCAAUCUUACUUCCCACAUGCCUACGAGAUUAUGGGUAUUGCUUCCUGUUUGGGUUGACAUUAAUUUACCUUCAGAUGGAAUUUGUCUUCACAAUAUCUCAGAGCUGCCCUGGAAUCUCAGUCUCCUCAUACACUGCUGUCACUUAUCAGGUAGUUAAAAUAGCACCAAUGACAACCAAUAUUUACAUGGCAUUUAUUGCUUGUCAAAAAUGGAAAUGAGUAUAAAAUUUGGAAAAGAAGUCUCUGCUAAUAUACAAACGUUUGAAGAACUCUUGAAAGACCUCAGUGAGUUGAAGAUUAUAGAAUAAAUCGAAACGGGUUGAUGCACUAUUUUUCAUGAGUUUACAAUCCUAUCUUAUUCUCUCUAGGGAAUAAAAAUAUUGUACUCCCAUAAACAUGUGGCCAUACUGUGUCUCACCCCUAUUUUCUUCCACUGAAUCAUUCUUUCCUCUUUUAGGCAUUCAGCAAGCUGUCUUCAAGCACUGAACAUUGCUCACCUUGUUUCAGACAGGUCCUGUGACAAAUUAUGGCCUCUGCAGACAUAAAAAUAUAUCGAUCAAGAGAACUUGUAAGACAUGGAAGAAAAAUUAAUCCAUGCUUUUCUUAGAAAAAGGAAACCACCUUUUUGAGCAAACUUUGAGCAGGGCAGGCUCUGGAGCCUCAGCAUCACAUCUGUUCUGAAGGUCUUGCUUAGUUGCUGAGGUGGGCUUCACACUUGAUAUCCUCCUGCCUCAGCCUCCUGAGUUGUGGAGGCAUGCAUCACUCCUGGAAAGAGGGAAAAGGAGACAGCUUUGGCUCUGGGGGAAAGAGCCACAAGAUAGCCACUAGGACAAAGAAACAGAAGAACACAGAUAGGGGUCUGCGCAGAGGGAAGUGUUUUGACACAUAACUCACACUGCUGAAGGACGAAGAAGACAAUGAAGACCGUGAAGAGGUCCAUCCACACUGGGCAGCCAUUCUUUUCUCCACUGGAAACCAGUCUCUACCUCACUUCCAUUUUCUCUGCGAAUACCAAGAAGAUCAGAAUCAGAGUGAAAAAGAAGGUGCUGAUUUGGCUGGAGAAUAUGGAAAAUAAACAAAAACACAUGGAAUCAUAUAGCACCUGGGAAAUAUUGUGCCACUUCCUUGGGCUUCUUUGAUAUCCAGUGAGAAGUCUGCUAUUGUUUGAAUUAUUUUUCCUAUAAAGAUACACUUUCCAGGACAUAGUGGAAAUUCAACAAUUGUCAAAUAUAAAAGGCACAUCAGCAUGAUCCACUCUUAUCUUAUGGGACAUUGUGGAUAUAUUCUGAAUCUCAAAGGAAUGGAGGGUUGCUGUAUGUGAGUCCCAAUCAGAUGAGAUCUGCUCACAUUCUUCAUGGCUCUGCCUAUUCUGUGGUGUCCUGCUUCAUUGUUGGCCAUGCUGCCUGCUAGCAUCCAAUAGGAAAAGACAAGGACAAACUAGACAUGCCUCAAUAAACUCUGAAAGAGUUCUAGCCAUUUUUGUAAAUUUAGCAAUUUUAUUAUUGAGCUCCCGCUGUCUGUCACUUUAUGUGAAGAAAUCAAGGUUCUGAGGUUGAAUCAUUUCCUUAGAUUAAUAGGAAUGACACCGUCUCCAAUUAAAAAGACACAACAUGCUCCUUUUAAAUUCCUUCUACUAUACAACCUUCUUUUGACUGGUGACCACCUGGAAGGAAAUGUCUUGCCUUGACUUGUUCUGAAUUACACCUAACAAUGUAUCUUAUUAGAAGUCAAAGUUAACUGCUUUCUAGUUCCAAUAAACUGGAAAAGGUACUAGGAAUUCUUUUAACAAGUCCUUGAAAUUAGUCCAUAUUUUACAUGAACCCCAGAGUGUAUGUGUAUGUAAAUAAAUAAAUAUAUGAAAAAAUAAAUAUAUACACAUGUGUACACCCACAUAUAUACAUGCACAUAUAUGCACAGGCACAUGUGCACACAUAUAUGAAACAUGCACAUUGCUUAUGUGUGCAUAUUAACACAUGUAUUGCUCUAAAAAAUCUUGUUUGGGGCUGGGGAUGUGGCUCAAGGGGUAACGCGCUCACCAGGCAUGUGCAGGGUGCU
Ictidomys tridecemlineatus (thirteen-lined ground squirrel) is the source of this 3349-nucleotide non-coding RNA. Lineage: Eukaryota; Metazoa; Chordata; Mammalia; Rodentia; Sciuridae. The record is from RefSeq and is a predicted model, not a curated record.